GGGAAAUGAUGAGUGGUCAAAGCUCGCAUACAAAAAUGCGAGAUGGGUGUCUGCUCCGCCUGUUUUACGACAAUUAGGCGCUCUCAUCUAAACCAAUCUGAUCCC
Molecule: small nucleolar RNA, 105 nt
Organism: Salvia splendens (bonfire salvia)
Lineage: Eukaryota; Viridiplantae; Streptophyta; Magnoliopsida; Lamiales; Lamiaceae
Product: small nucleolar RNA Z279/snoR105/snoR108
Exons: 1
Source: RefSeq, a predicted model, not a curated record